Long non-coding RNA from Marmota monax (woodchuck), 3140 nucleotides. RefSeq lists it as uncharacterized. The record is from RefSeq and is a predicted model, not a curated record. NCBI's taxonomy places the organism in Eukaryota, Metazoa, Chordata, Mammalia, Rodentia, Sciuridae. The transcript is spliced from 3 exons.
UGCCUGCCCCUGUCAUAGACAGUGGCCAGCCCUGAGCAGUGUUUGGCACAGGAGAGCAUCCAGAGAUUUAUGCAGCCAUUAUGUGCAAGGUAGAUUGAAACAGGAGACUUGAUGCGAUCCUGAUGAGACAGCCCCACUGUGAAUUUACAAAUGUUGACUCCGUGUAACCCAAGCACUGGGGAAAGACUCCACGCUCCACAGGCUGGAGGGCCACAUCCCUGACACUUCUAGAAAGAUGUAAAGGGCCUCUAGGAUCAGAGGAGGAUGACAUCUCCUUGGACCCCACCUGGAGCCCAGACUUCAGUGCACCGAUCACCUUGGCUUCUACCAAGCAACUGCCUUUAUUUACGAUUUUCCAGCAUAACUACAUGUGUGCCUCAUACACACAUAGACAUCAUGAAUUCAUAACGAACACACCCCUGUCAUCCAAACCCAGACCAAGAAAGAAAACAUGACCUGGACCCCAAGACCUUCUUUGGCUCCCUUCCCAGCUACGCCUCACCUCCCCCGCCCAGGACAAUAACUCUCCUGACUUCUAACCGUUCACGUUCGCUUUGUCUGUUGUUGUACUUUAUAUAAAUGGAACGCGCAGCAUGCGCUCUUGUUUCUGACUUCUUUCAUUCAACCUUCUGCUCGGGAGCUUCUUGCAUUUUGCAACGGGCUUACAGUUGUCAGUGAAUUUUGAAACCGAUCAUAUUUUUAAGGAGCUCAGAGCCAGAAUGGCGGCCACCUCUGGAAACUCCCCAGUACCAAAGAGGCGUUCUGGACACCCCUUGUCAGCUGCCCCUCGUCCAAAUUUCCCAAGGUCUUUAUUCUGCUUGCUUUUGGUGAAGUAUAAGAAUGUUUAGAACUCUCCUCAGAUCCUAUUUGAAACAAUCCAUUUUGGGAAAUAAUAAUGAGUGAAUGUCAGCCCUGACUCCCCUGGUCCAGGGCUCCUCUCUGUUCCCCAGGGAGGACCAAGAGAACGCUGAUCAUCAGUGGAGAAGAUGAGGAUGAAGGUGGAGAUGGCCAUGCAGAUGAACAGGGUGGUGACAGCUGGCCUGUGUGACAGCUUCAUCACAACACAUCUCUCUCCCUGUUUUUAAUUAAAGAAAGCAAGGCACCGAAAGGUGAAAUAUCUUGCUGGAGGCCACCCAGCUGGAAAGGGGGGAAGCUUGGAUGAGAGCCCAGCCUGAGAAAUUCAGUUCUAGAAACCCGUCUCCGCCGGCACCCAGGACGGCGCUGCGUUGCAUGGAGGGUGACUUCUGAGCCGCUGUCUUGUCAUCCCUUUCAAGGCAGAGCUCCUGGCUGGCUGCCUUCCUCCCCUUCAUCUGUUACCAAAGCCUCUGCCACACGCCUGGCUGUGGGCUCCUGAGCAUGCGUGCUGUGUGGCUGGAAUGUGGGGGAAACCGCCCACUUUAAUGCAGAUGAGCCUGGGGCGCCAGCUCCUGCAGAGCAUGCUCCUGCUGCCCUCCCCAAGGCGGAGCACUGGGCAUAAUUAUCAGUGUCUUUCAGCAGAACUACAGGCAGCCCUCAGUGGCACCCGGAGGGUUUAAUCAUAGGAGAAUCCAUACGAACCAAUCUGAGCAGACAGGAGGCCAGAAGUGCUGCUGAGGAGGACUCGCCCAGGGAUGGCCAGACCAGGGUCACUCCAACGGCCCCAGGAUCUUCACAUAUGUGAUGCUGAGCUUCACAGAGUUACCUUGCUCAUUUUUCAGGUGGAAAAACAGGUUCUUAUAGGAUGUAUCUAUUAAUGAAAGCCUGAGCCAUCCAGCUCAACUUAUCAGGACAAAGGGAACCCCAAUGUUUACCAAAGAGAAAUAUAGAGGUCCGCACUUAUCCCCAGUUUCAUUUUUCCUAGUUCAGUUAUCUACAGUCACCAGAGUCCCAGAAUAUUAAGUGGGAAAUUCCAGAAAUAAACCAUUCGUAAGUUUUAAGUUGCGUGCUCUUCUAAGUAAUGUGAAGAUAUCUCCUGCUGUCCUGCUCUAUCCAAUCCAGGAUAUGAAUCAUACUUUCUCCAGUGUGUCCAUGCUGUAUAUGCUACCUGCCCAUUAGUUACAUAGUAGCUGCCUUGGUUAUGGGAUCAAAGUUGAUAUUGCAGUGCUUGUAUUCAGGUAACUCUUAUUUUACUUAAUAGUCUCCAAAGUGCAAGAGUAGUGAUGCAGAGAUACUGUGGUACUAUGUGGCAACACUACAUAGCAUAUAGGAAAAAGAAAACACCAAACCCUAUAUUUUAUCUGUUUUAUCUAUGGCUUCAGACAUCCACUAGAGGUCUUGGAACCUGUCCCCUCUGGACACAGGAGGAUUACCAUACAGUGACUUUGCCAUGAGCUCCAGCCUGGGAUCCUGUGGACUGGAUUUCUCACAGCAGGGGCAGGGGAAAUGCAGGUUCUGCCCAAGCCAUGUCUGCAGGUGCAGCGGAAGCUGCCUGGCUGACUUCCCUCUGAGCUGGAGCAGGCCUCCUAUCUUACAGAAGCUGCUGCGGCACUUGAGAAUUACACAGAAAACAGGCUCCAACCUCCGCUCUCCCCCCUGCAUAGCAGCUAUUCCUGCCCGGGUCCCUUCCUUGGGCUUUAAUCCUUCUUACUGCUUAAUUUCGUAGUAAAUUCCAUUGACAACUGGCUUGCACUUUCUCCAGGGGCAAUAAACACCUUGUAAUUUAUAAAUCCUUCCAUCAAUUGCCUGCAGAAGGAACAAAGUAACCAAAGAGGGUGGAAAAUAAAGCAGGGCUAUCCUCCACCCUGGUGAUGCCUCAAGAAACAGAGCAGCCAGGCUCCUUCCGGCCCAGAGCUAAUGGGGUCGCCUGUCCUCCGCAAAUAAUUCCUGUUUUAACACUGAGGACUGGGAUUAAUGCAGUCCCCACUGAGCACUCCUAUGUGCCAGCCGUCUCUCAAUUAUUACCUCUAAUCCCCAGGAUAAACCUACACAGCCAGCAUUAUGAUCUCUCUUCCUACAUGCACACAGGCGAAGGCUCAGAGGGACUAAGGAGUCUGUCCAAGAUCAUGCAGUUUGCAAGCCACAGAGCCAGGAUUCAAGCCUUGCUCUAGCUGACUCUGAGCCCAAAUUGGCUCCAUGCACUUCUUAUGGACAAGGGCUUUUAAGUGUUUAUUGAUUGCAACUUAUGGUAAAAGAAAUAGAUUUGGGGCAUCACCCUCUGCCAA